GACAGAGGGUGCAAACGUUGUUCGGAAUUACUGGGCGUAAAGGGCGCGUAGGCGGCCCGCUAAGUCGAACGUGAAAGCCCCUGGCUCAACUGGGGAAGUGCACCCGAAACUGAAUGGCUUGAGUGCGAAAGAGGGUCGCGGAAUUCCCGGUGUAGAGGUGAAAUUCGUAGAUAUCGGGAGGAACACCGGUGGCGAAGGCGGCGACCUGGGUCGACACUGACGCUGAGGCGCGAAAGCGUGGGGAGCAAACAGG
RNAcentral lists this ribosomal RNA (253 nucleotides) under uncultured bacterium. RNAcentral describes it as "partial 16S ribosomal RNA". It matches the Rfam family "Bacterial small subunit ribosomal RNA", at positions 524 to 776 of the family's 1533-position model. The record is from RNAcentral.